This 202-nucleotide ribosomal RNA is filed under the name uncultured bacterium. RNAcentral describes it as "partial 16S ribosomal RNA". It matches the Rfam family "Bacterial small subunit ribosomal RNA", at positions 574 to 775 of the family's 1533-position model. The record is from RNAcentral.
GGUGGGCUGGAAAGUUAGUGGUGAAAUACCCGAGCUUAACGUGGGAACUGCCGUUGAUACUAUAUAUCUUGAAUGUCGUAGAGGUAAGCGGAAUAUGUCAUGUAGCGGUGAAAUGCUUAGAGAUGACAUAGAACACCAAUUGCGAAGGCAGCUUGCUAUGCGAUUAUUGACACUGAGGCACGAAAGCGUGGGUAGCAAACAG